Molecule: transfer RNA, 59 nt
Filed under: Ortleppascaris sinensis
Lineage: Eukaryota; Metazoa; Nematoda; Chromadorea; Rhabditida; Ascarididae
Description: tRNA-Trp
Source: RNAcentral
ACAGAUAUAAGUUAAAUAUGUAAACUAUUGGUCUUCAAAACCAAAAAUUUUAAUCUGUA